RNA transcript from Vigna radiata var. radiata (mung bean), 1802 nucleotides. RefSeq lists it as uncharacterized. Lineage: Eukaryota; Viridiplantae; Streptophyta; Magnoliopsida; Fabales; Fabaceae. The transcript is spliced from 12 exons. The record is from RefSeq and is a predicted model, not a curated record.
CGGUAGUAGUACAAUAUGAAGCAAGCAUGCAACUCUCGCAGGCAAUUCACAGAAGAACUCCAGCAAUUCUCCUUGAGAUGUGAAUAACUAGAAGACUAGUCACCACUCCUUCCGCUCCAAGCGACUUUGCUUUAAACUUUUGAAAUUCAAAGGCGAGUUUUGAAUGUCAUAACCAACAUUCUCACAUGCUACACAUUUCCAAUCACAACAAUCCUUCCAUUUUUCUUCUACACCAUCAACAUUCAGUGUUGUUGGGACGUUAAGCUGAGACAUGAGAAGGCGAAGGCAACCAAAAUCCCUAAUCCCACUUCGCUUAAUUUCGCGGCACAGAACAGACUCAGACGAAAGCAUUUCUGACGAAGACGACGCCGUUUUCCCCAUCAAUGCGCUUUCCUCAGACAACACCCACAAGCAAGAAUUGCCUCUUGCUGUGCGGCUCGACAUUCUAAAAGGGUACUGCGGUACAGGAAUCAGUGAUCGGAAUUUGUCUGGGAAAGGCACCAGUUCUUCAUCUGAGAAACCGCUUGAAGAUGAGGUUGAGAUGCCUGACUUCAACGAGGGAGAGGUUGUUGCCAAUUCAACUGAUGAAGAAAACAAUUCUGCAGACGGGGAUAACACUGCCGUAUCAGCCCCAAAGCUCUGCAAGUAUGGUCCACAGUCUAUCAGAAACAAACAUAUUAGAGAUAUGACCAAAAUUUCUGAAGCAUUGCUACAUUACAAAGGAAGCGUGUCAGGGUCUCAUAUGACCUGCUCCAAAGCAAAUACAUCUGGGUCACGUAAAUGUGGGGGCAUUGGUUCUUCAAUCCCCCAGAUUGAUAGGUUGCCUAAAAUUUUGAAAGUGGUUGAUCCUAGUAGUUCUGGAAAUUUAGAGGAAAAUCAUCUUGAAGAUGAUGACAAAAUUGAAGUAAAUUCAGACAUUGAGCCUGAUGAAACAGAAGCUUUUCCACGUGAGUUUAAUCUCACCUCAAUGAAUGAGCUCUUUAAUAACAUCCAAGACAAAGCCAAUCAGGCAAGUUUUCAACAAAUAAAAAAUGCCUUCUCUGUAAAGAAAACGCAGACCAUGACAGAGCGAUUUUUGGAAGCUCUAGGGACAUCCUCUGUUAUUACUGAAGAGACUCAUGUUGGAGCUCAUAAUUCAUUGAGUGAUGGAUUGUCUGGAAGACUACAGCAGAUGAUGCUAAAAGAAAAAGAAACAGACAUGGACUUCUGGAAAAAGUUAAAAGCUGGAGCUAGGCCAGAUAGUCAACUUGGCUGCUUUGAUGUAAAAAUCAUUUCAAGAUACCACGAUGGAAAGCUGACUGUUUGUCACUGCUCAUUUGGCAAGUGCAGAGAGAUUAUUUUUGCAGAAUUUUCUGUUGCAAGAUAAUUAUGAAGGAAUGGAGUUUGGUGGCAGCAAAAGCAGCCAUAGCACCAUUAUCUUUAGCCCAAGGGUUUGCAACAAUGUUGACCUUGUAGUUGGGAAUGUGAUCCGAAUUCACCCUCCAUGGAAGGAAGUUCAAGUGGGAAAUGAUAAUAUUAUUCUGUGCACUUAUUUCUCAUAAAUUUGAUGUCCAGUUUUAAUUCAUUUUAGAUUCUUAUCAACCAAGGAAAAUUAUCCAAAGCACCAAACAAAUAUGCUGCUGUUCAGCUUUGGGAACUAGGAAAGGGACUUGUCUCAUUUUACUCGAGUCGAGGUACCUUUAGAUUACUGUACCACUAGCCUUAAAGAUUAUCGGUAGAGAAAAAAAUUACAGAAAAUUUAGAGAGGAUCAUGAAGAAUCUGUUAUGUUAUUAAUAUUUGAUAUUGAUGCACUUUGAAGGUA